CAUCGGCGAACUGCUCAGUAACACGUGGACAACCUGCCCUUAGGACGGGGAUAAACCCGGGAAACUGGGUAUAAUACCCGAUAGGUCUCGAUUGCUGGAAUGCAUCGAGAUUUAAAGCUCCGGCGCCUAAGGAUGGGUCUGCGGCCUAUCAGGUAGUAGUGGGUGUAGCGUACCUACUAGCCUACGACGGGUACGGGUUGUGAGAGCAAGAGCCCGGAGAUGGAUUCUGAGACACGAAUCCAGGCCCUACGGGGUGCAGCAGGCGCGAAAACUUUACAAUGCCGGCAACGGCGAUAAGGGGACCUCGAGUGCCAGGUUACAAAUCUGGCUGUCGUGAUGCCUAAAAAGCAUUGCAUAGCAAGGGCCGGGCAAGACCGGUGCCAGCCGCCGCGGUAACACCGGCGGCUCGAGUGGUAACCGUUAUUAUUGGGUCUAAAGGGUCUGUAGCCGGCCGGAUAAGUCUCUUGAGAAAUCCAGCAGCUCAACUGUUGGGCUUUCAGGAGAUACUGUCUGGCUCGAGGCCGGGAGAGGUGAGAGGUACUUCAGGGGUAGGGGUGAAAUCUUGUAAUCCUUGAAGGACCACCAGUGGCGAAGGCGUCUCACCAGAACGGACCUGACGGCAAGGGACGAAAGCUAGGGGCACGAACCGGAUUAGAUACCCGGGUAGUCCUAGCCGUAAACGAUACUCGCUAGGUGUCGGCCACGGUGCGACCGUUGUCGGUGCCGUAGGGAAGCCGUGAAGCGAGCCACCUGGGAAGUACGGCCGCAAGGCUGAAACUUAAAGG
This 785-nucleotide ribosomal RNA is filed under the name uncultured archaeon. Its description in RNAcentral is "bacterial SSU rRNA". It matches the Rfam family "Archaeal small subunit ribosomal RNA", at positions 76 to 862 of the family's 1478-position model. The record is from RNAcentral.